UACGUAGGGUGCGAGCGUUGUCCGGAAUUACUGGGCGUAAAGAGCUCGUAGGUGGUUUGUCGCGUUGUUCGUGAAAACUCACAGCUCAACUGUGGGCGUGCAGGCGAUACGGGCAGACUGGAGUACUGCAGGGGAGACUGGAAUUCCUGGUGUAGCGGUGGAAUGCGCAGAUAUCAGGAGGAACACCAAUGGCGAAGGCAGCUCGCUGGAACGGUACUGACGCUGAGGCGCGAAAGCGUGGGGAGCGAACAGG
RNAcentral lists this ribosomal RNA (253 nucleotides) under uncultured bacterium. RNAcentral's name for it is "partial 16S ribosomal RNA". It matches the Rfam family "Bacterial small subunit ribosomal RNA", at positions 524 to 776 of the family's 1533-position model. The record is from RNAcentral.